GGAAGGGCUGUUCACAUUCCAUAGAGGGCAGUCCUAGGGGGUGGGGUUGGAAGGAGAGGGGUUUAGGAAAUUUGGUCCUUGACAGGGUAGCUGCUUCCCAGCAAGGAUUCUGUACUCUGCAAAGAUGGAGGACUUUACUAGAAUAUGACCUUCUAUAUUCUAGAUUCAAGAAGAACAUGUCUCCACCAGAAGUGGAUGAAGGACAACAAAAUUUAAAAAAGAAGUCUGUGGACCAACAGUGGCCAAGGUCAGUCCUCGUUUGCUGGGAAGAUUCUGGUGAUGAUGUUGGCAGUCUUGCUCCACUGUGCACAGCUUUUACAAAACCUAAAGGGCGGCACCUCACUUUGGGCAAUCUGCCAUCAGUCACAUUUAUUGGAUAAACUUGCAGGGUCAGCAUUCACUAAAAGGACAUGCAGACGAAAUUAGUCGGCGUUGCUUCUUUUUGAAGAGAACACAAAUAAAAUGGCUGUAAUCACCUCUCUGAGAGUUCAGAAUAACAGCUUAAAAAAAAAGUCUAUAAUCCAGAGGAAAAUAAAAAGACUGAAGAGAAUCACUCAGCAAGAACGUCUAGCAGUGUCUGAGCCUCAUGUAGAUAGAUCAUCUUAAUGAACUCAAAGGCUCUCAAAGAAGGAAAAACACACCUCUGUUUAUAACUGUCAAAAGGCGACCCAAAAAAGGUCCAAUUAUAAAAAUCAAACAAAUUGAAACCCAUUCCCUAUCUAUCUUUUAGUAAGACAAGAUGGAAAGAUAUUGCAUGAUCCUUAUAAACAUUUCCAAGUCCUUUAAUUAACUCUCAGAUUUCCUUUGCAACUAAGAAUUAUAGUCUUUUUCUAGACUUUUCACUUUCUCUCUUAAUUCUUCAUCAUUAAGGGAAUUCAUCAAGUAUACAGUAUAAGAUUGGGAAAGUUUCCAAAUUUUAUAGCUUGCUUCUAUCUUGAAGCCAAAACAUUUUAUGAGUCUCUUGGUUCUAAUGUUCUUAACUCACUUGAAUGUCUGAGCAUUUUAGAUGAGAGACAUUUUUAUCACUUUGACAAAAAUGGUAACUUUAAUGACUCCAUCAAAAAUUCAUCAAGUAUGUUUUUUUGUGAGGCCUUUUUAAAAUGAACUUACUAACCAACAAUUCUAAAGACCCCACCAAAAACUCUCUUUCAGCUCAAUACAUGAAUUAACUAUUUAUUCGCAUACAACAUCUUUAAAAAAUGAAUCUGAAUUGCAGUUAGAAAUCCAGAAUGAAGGUUUCUAACAG
This 1246-nucleotide long non-coding RNA is filed under the name Equus asinus (donkey). Its description in RNAcentral is "lncRNA (ENSEASG00005029237.1)". The record is from RNAcentral. Lineage: Eukaryota; Metazoa; Chordata; Mammalia; Perissodactyla; Equidae.